GUCAAGGCACGUGGAGGUCGGCCCGUCAGCAAUAGCUUCUAUCGCCAAGCUAUUGGCCAGCGCAGAAGUGGACAUCUGGGACACAAUGGGGGCACCAUCAUCGGGCCCUUGCAGAAUGAGGUACUGAGUCGUCUCUGCUCCCCCAUCUUCAGCGCUGGUCACAGCUAUGCAGCCUGGGGAGGGAAAGGAGAGGACAUCACGGUACCCACCCG
This 212-nucleotide long non-coding RNA is filed under the name Gallus gallus (chicken). Lineage: Eukaryota; Metazoa; Chordata; Aves; Galliformes; Phasianidae. The record is from RNAcentral.